AUGAUAACAAUGAAAGCCCUGAUGAGUUAUUUAAACUCAAGCCAGCCCAACCCAGUAUUCUUAGGUGAGACAAUAGAUAUUCCCGUUAACACAUGCAAACACAUCACAAGGUACCUUAUAAGAGAAUUUUGUGUCAUGACUCUCACAGAUACUCUUCAGGAAAAUGUGGCAAUGCAUGAGGAUGAUCAUCCCAAAAGCUCUGCUUCUUCAGAUCUGAAUACUAAGAUACUCCAACAAAUUAAAAUGCUGGAACAGAGACAAGCUGUCAUCAUGAAUGACUUGGCAAAAGUUAAGCCUGUUCUCAUGAAGCGGGCAGAAGAAGAUGCCCAUGAGGAACUUUUUAAACAACAACAGUGCUCCAGCUUUGAAACGUUUGAAGCCUUCUGUCAGAGGCUUGAAGAAGACAAAAAUUAUCAAGAGCUUUAUGUACACUAUCUCAUCCAUACUCACGGCACCUCCAAUAUAGGUGAGAUGGUGAAAGAGGCUUUAAUAAGCAUAGUGUCAGACAAUGUUCUCUGUCUGUAUAACAGAACGGGGAAAGAUGGGAAGAAGGUGUUGCCACCUGUGCUCCUGACAUGUUUGAAAAAAUGUGUCAGGUCUUUUCACAAACAAAAUGAAAUAAAGGUGAAGAAGCUAAAAGUAACCACCAGAACAACACCAGACGCGGAAUGUAUUCGCCAAGUAGAAUUUUUUUGUCCAACGCCAAAACCAGGCUGAAAAGGAAACCAAAUAAAGGAAAAAGCUGACUUUUUGUUUGAUUGUUUUUAUUGAUGGAAAUAAGGAAUGUGGGUGUAAAAGUUUGAGUUAACUGAAUCAUUUUAGAUAACAGUGAACUAACACAAUUAUUGCAUAGUGGUGUUAUAUGGUGAUCUCACAGUAUGAGCACACAGUGACCACAGUAUGAGCACACAGUGAUCACAGUAUGAGCACACAGUGAGUGUGAUGUGACCUCAUAUUUCCACCACAGUAUGAGUGCACUGUGAUUGUGCAGUCACCUCAUGCUGUGAACAAAGUAUGAGCACACAGUGAGAGCUCUUUGUGGUUACACUUUUAGUUCACUGUGACACUCACAUUAUGACCGCACCAUGAGAAUAUUGUGAGCUCAUAGUGACAUCAUUGUGAGAUCAAAUUGUUGACUGGGCAAUUACAGUUGUUUUUAUUAUUGUACAUUAUUCUCCUCAAAUGCUCUCGAAGUUAGAAAAGUGUAGUAGUCUAUACCAAUACCUCAUGUAACUUUAGAGACGGUCCCUAUAUUUGCGAAUAUCGAACAUCCAACGUCAAGCCAACUUUAUGCCCGCUUUUUACUUUUUUUUUUUUUUACUUUCUUCUGUUUUCUUUCCUCUGCAACGGAUGGUUGAUGUCUUUUAACCAGGCAUAUAUGUCCAUCCAUCAAUUAUGAACAUUCAGCCGCAAACAUGAGGUGCGAGCGUUUACAAGUGUGGUCGGGGGGAAUGACAAGGUUUUUUUUUUUUUUUUUUUUUUGAGCACUGCCCCCCAGGGAUUUGCUGCCCUACACAAACUGUGUACUCUGCAUAUAGAGAGCGGUGGUACUGCCUAAAAUGUAAUGUUUCUGUUAAUAUUGGGGGCUGAAAUUCUUCAAGAUUACAUCUUCCUUGGGGAGUCCCUCAAGGUUCGAUUCUUGCUCAAAUUCUUUUCUCCCUUUAUAUGUUACCGUUAGGAGCAAUUUUUCACAAAUAUAAAGUGUCAUUCCAUUGCAACGCUGAUGAUACGCAGAUUUAUUUGCCUGUGAGUGAGUUCAAACUCAAAUUAAAAUUCAAACUCACUUGACACUUUAUUAGCAUGCUUACACAAUGUUAAAGAGGGGGUGAAAAGCUAAUUUUCACUCAAUCUCCUGUUAAUCUUGAGUACGUAUAGAGUAGUACUGCAUCCUCCAUAUCUCCAAAAAGUCUUUAGUUAUAUUAUAUUUAUUAGAGAAAGAUAGUCUGUACUGAUUUUUUCCGGAAAAAAACACGAGCGGCUGGAGGCGUGACGUGUGGGUGGAGCUAAAGAAUCACGAGCACGACUAGGAUUUUGCAUUGAGAGCAUUUGGAAGCUGUGACAUUACCAUCAUCCAAAACAAACCAUGGCUAACAGUAAGAUUCAGCCGUAUAUUUUUGAUCCAGAAUCAGAUCUCGAGGCUGAAAUUGAACAAGAGCAGCAGCAGCAACGACUACAGCAGGACGUCUCUAUGUAGUAUAUAUUGAAACUAUAUAUAUUUGCUUAGCGGUUUUGGAAAGUGACUAAGUUCCACAUUAUGUCGUUUUUUUUUUUUUUUUUAAAGGGGGGGUGAAAUGCUCGUUUUCACUCAAUAUCCUGUUAAUCUUGAGUACCUAUAGAGUAGUACUGCAUCCUUCAUAACACCAAAAAGUCUUUAGUUUUAUUAUAUUUAUAAGAGAAAGAUAGUCUGUACCGAUUUUUCCCGGAAAAACACGAGCGCCUGGAGGCGUCACGUGUGGGCGGAGCUAAAGAACAAGCACGAAUUAUGUCGAUUGCAAGUGUCACAGGUAGCAGAAAGUGCAAGUAGCGAUUGCAACUGACAUUGUAAUUUAGUUUAUUUUUUUCUUGUCUUCGCCACCUGGCUACUGUUGUAAAAUGUUGGGAAAUUCGAACAAAAAGUUAAAAAAAAAAUCAAUAAAAUAAAGAAUAAAGACUGCAAGUGAUGUCACUAGCGCAAGUGCAAGUGUCUGAGAGUGCAAGUGCAAGUCUGCAGCCAGACCCUCUUGCAACUCCGUUGAUGCUCUGUAAAAAUAAACUCCAUCCACUGGUCCCUUAAUGCUGUUUUUUUUUUUGGUAAUCUGUACAGGGUUGUCUUGCCCUGGCAACCGAAAACACACUUUGGUGACAUUUCGCUCUCUCACACUGGUCAGUGAAUGUCUCUGCUCUGGUCUAUGGGCACGCACGCGCUCUUCUGGGAGAAGUGCCCUUAGGACCCAUAUAAGGAAAUUCUGCACCAUCUAACGUCACACGGACCCAUACUCGAAAAAAACUUUCCGAAACUUGUGACAAACCGGAAGGAGUAUUUUUGGAACAAAAAUACUCCUUCAAACGUACAACUUAAUUUUUGAAACUUUGUCCAUGUUUAGCAUGGGAAUCCAACUCUUUAACAGUGUAAAAAUCUCAGUAUGCAUGAAAUAGCAUUUCACCCCCCUUUAAGGAUUGGAUGGCUGCAAUUUUUUUAAAGGUUAAUGAAAAUAAAACUGAUGUUAUUGUGUUUGGCCCUAGAAAACAUGAGGUGCUGCCGUGCUUGAAAGCAAUUUUUUUGACUGGUUUUGUUAAAUCUAAUGUAAAAAAAAAAAAAAGGAUUUGUUCUGGAUAGUGAUUUAAAGUUGGACAGAGAAAUUAACAUUGUGGUGAGAUCUUGUUUUUUUUUUUUUUUUUAUCUAUGUCUGCUAGUUAAGACUAAACCAUUUCUAUCUAGUUCAGAUUUUGAGAGAGCAAUUCCGUCCAUUGUCUUUUCACGAAUGGAUUAUUGUAAUUCACUUUACUAUGGAGUUGACGUUCGAG
Molecule: long non-coding RNA, 3504 nt
Filed under: Carassius auratus (goldfish)
Lineage: Eukaryota; Metazoa; Chordata; Actinopteri; Cypriniformes; Cyprinidae
Description: lncRNA (ENSCARG00000004508.1)
Source: RNAcentral